GAUGAAUGCUGGCGGCGUGCCUAAUACAUGCAAGUCGAGCGAACGGACGAGAAGCUUGCUUCUCUGAUGUUAGCGGCGGACGGGUGAGUAACACGUGGAUAACCUACCUAUAAGACUGGGAUAACUUCGGGAAACCGGAGCUAAUACCGGAUAAUAUUUUGAACCGCAUGGUUCAAAAGUGAAAGACGGUCUUGCUGUCACUUAUAGAUGGAUCCGCGCUGCAUUAGCUAGUUGGUAAGGUAACGGCUUACCAAGGCAACGAUGCAUAGCCGACCUGAGAGGGUGAUCGGCCACACUGGAACUGAGACACGGUCCAGACUCCUACGGGAGGCAGCAGUAGGGAACCUUCCGCAAUGGGCGAAAGCCUGACGGAGCAACGCCGCGUGAGUGAUGAAGGUCUUCGGAUCGUAAAACUCUGUUAUUAGGGAAGAACAUAUGUGUAAGUAACUGUGCACAUCUUGACGGUACCUAAUCAGAAAGCCACGGCUAACUACGUG
RNAcentral lists this ribosomal RNA (497 nucleotides) under uncultured bacterium. RNAcentral describes it as "partial 16S ribosomal RNA". It matches the Rfam family "Bacterial small subunit ribosomal RNA", at positions 28 to 507 of the family's 1533-position model. The record is from RNAcentral.